Molecule: small RNA, 2741 nt
Filed under: Pan troglodytes (chimpanzee)
Lineage: Eukaryota; Metazoa; Chordata; Mammalia; Primates; Hominidae
Description: retained intron
Source: RNAcentral
CGAGGCAGUGCGGCCGUCACUACCACUUCUAGAAUGUUCCGUCAUCCCAGAAUGGAAACCCUGUGCCCACCGACACUCGUGCCCCGCUUUCUGCGGCCUCCGUGCCUGGGUUCUGUGGCCCAGCCUGAUGUUCCCGGGGCUCUCUGUGUCGUGUGUGCUGGGGUUUCACUCCUCAUGCUGGGCGGUGCUCCCUAGUUGGCCUGGGCUGCUGCGUGGUGACUGUGCCCUCUGCACCCUCCAUGCCUGCCACUCCCCUGUUGCUCGGGUGCUGAGCGCCUGGUUCAGGCCGAGGAUGCAGCCUCCGCAGCAGGGUGUACUGUGCUAGGUUGUUCUGUGUGUGUGUGUACGCGGCCACGGGGUUCAUUCCUGGCUGUGGGGCUGCUGGGCCCGGGCAGGGCCUCCUCCGUCUGUGUAUCUUGGUGGGUUUGGGCCUGCCACCACACUGACACCUCCUCCGUGUCACCUCCCACAGAUCUGGGCGGACCCCGGCAAAUACGCCCUGAUGGGAGCUGCUGCCCAGCUGGGUAUGUUCCAGCUCUUGCCCGAUGGGUGGGGAGCUCCACGGGGUCUGGAGGGGGCCAUGGCUGUCCUUGCGGGGCUGGGGUCUGGGAGCAGGUGGAUGGGAUGGGUGCUGCAGAGAAGGCAGUGGCCACGUGACCCUGAGCCAGGAGGGUGGACGUGCUGGGGUUCAUGAUGGCUCCCGCAGGCGGGAUUGUGCGGAUGACACUGAGCCUGACGGUCAUCAUGAUGGAGGCCACCAGCAACGUGACCUACGGCUUCCCCAUCAUGCUGGUGCUCAUGACCGCCAAGAUCGUGGGCGACGUCUUCAUUGAGGGCCUGUACGACAUGCACAUUCAGCUGCAGAGUGUGCCCUUCCUGCACUGGGAGGCCCCGGUCACCUCACACUCACUCACUGCCAGGGAGGUGAUGAGCACACCGGUGACCUGCCUGAGGCGGCGUGAGAAGGUCGGCGUCAUUGUGGACGUGCUGAGCGACACGGCGUCCAAUCACAACGGCUUCCCCGUGGUGGAGCAUGCUGAUGACACCCAGCCUGCCCGGCUCCAGGGCCUGAUCCUGCGCUCCCAGCUCAUCGUUCUCCUAAAGCACAAGGUGUUUGUGGAGCGGUCCAACAUGGGCCUGGUGCAGCGGCGCCUGAGGCUGAAGGACUUCCGUGACGCCUACCCGCGCUUCCCACCCAUCCAGUCCAUCCACGUGUCCCAGGACGAGCGGGAGUGCACCAUGGACCUCUCUGAGUUCAUGAACCCCUCCCCCUACACGGUGCCCCAGGAGGCAUCGCUCCCACGGGUGUUCAAGCUGUUCCGGGCCCUGGGCCUGCGGCACCUGGUGGUGGUGGACAACCGCAAUCAGGUUGUUGGGUUGGUGACCAGGAAGGACCUCGCCAGGUACCGCCUGGGAAAGGGAGGCUUGGAGGAGCUCUCGCUGGCCCAGACGUGAGGCCCAGCCCUGCCCAUGGUGGGCACUGGCGCUGGCACCCCAGCCCUUCUGCACUUCCUCCCGGAGUCACUGGUUUCUCGGCCCAAGCCAUGCUCCCCAGCAGUGGCAAUGGCGAGCACCCUGCAGCUGGGCGGGCGGCAGGCGCGGAACUGACCGUCUCGCGGGACUGACCCUGUUGUGGGCAGUGGUCUCCCCCCUUGGCGCCUCCUUGCGCAGGCCCAGCCUCCGCUCUCCUCGUCUAGGUUUCUUUACCUCCAGGGAUCAGCUGUGUGAGUGUGACCUCCCUACCGGGCUGUCGGCCUCUUGGGAGCCAGCGGCAGGGCCGGCACCUGCGUGCCUGUGCCCGUGUGCGUGAGACAGAGCCCUUGCCCCUGCUGCUGCCCCGAGGGCUGCCCUGCCCUGGAAGGGCCCCUCUGCCUCCACAACCAGUGGAGUCUUCGAGACUUGGGAGCUGCUUGGCCUCAUUUUCAGCCAUGAGCAGACGGCCUGUGGUCCCUGGGCCUGAGGCACGGACUCGUAGCACCAGGGUUUGGAGGCUGCGACCGCCCCGGAGAGCAGCUUCACAUUGGUGCCACAGAGGAGCCCCACGUGCACUCCCCGGCCUGCAUCCGGCUUGGGUACACGGGCCCAGAGGACUGGGGUGACUCACGGGCCCUGUGCUGUGAUGUUGAGAGCUGAGAAAAACCUCCAAGGCCCUGAGCCCCAUGCCCAGCCCUGCCUUGGUCCCCCAACCCCCAGAGCUUGGAGUCUGGGCCCCACACCCAGCCCUGCCUUGGUCCCUGAGCCUCAGAGUGUGGAAUGGCUGCCCUGUGGACACUGGCUGGGAAGGCAGGUCUUCCCCUAGCACAUGGGGACCCCGGCCUCGGGGGUGACCUCCCUACCCCGCCCCUGCCAGCCACCAAGCGCAGGUGCAGCAGGGGCCAGACUCCUGCCGGCCUCAGAGGACACCUGGCCCAGCACAGGCAGCUAGAAGGGCCGGCGGGCACCGGGGCCGGGAAGCCCCCACCUGACCACCUGAGGGCCCCUGGGAGGCUCCUCUGGCCUGGCUGGGCUGGGUCUGGGGCUGCCACAGGCCCCUCACGGGGCGUCAGAGGCAACUUCAGUGUCCCUGUUAGAGCAACACGGGUCCCUCCGUGCGGGGCUGGGUGCGGCCCCCUGCCGUGUAUUUCCUCCCCAGGGAGUGGGGCCUCCCCGGGAGCUGACGCCACCACCCUGCUUAGCCCUCACAGGGCCCCAAGGUGUCCGAGUGUGUUGGGUCUGAACGCGCGAAAUAAAGAAAUCCUCUC